CAAAAAGCAGUGGUAUGGUUCCUAUAUGAGCAGUCCUCUCGUAACCUUCAGGGAUAUAAAAACUAUUGUUCUUGGGUGAACCUAUGUUCUUUUAUCGUGAUUUAAGGUUCAGUAAAUGAUGGAAUAUUU
This is a small nucleolar RNA of Vicia villosa (hairy vetch), 129 nucleotides long. RefSeq annotates it as small nucleolar RNA snoR74. The record is from RefSeq and is a predicted model, not a curated record. The transcript has a single exon. NCBI's taxonomy places the organism in Eukaryota, Viridiplantae, Streptophyta, Magnoliopsida, Fabales, Fabaceae.